This 406-nucleotide ribosomal RNA is filed under the name uncultured bacterium. RNAcentral describes it as "partial 16S ribosomal RNA". It matches the Rfam family "Bacterial small subunit ribosomal RNA", at positions 30 to 526 of the family's 1533-position model. The record is from RNAcentral.
AUUGAACGCUGGCGGCAGGCCUAACACAUGCAAGUCGAACGAGUGGCGGACGGGUGAGUAAUGUCUGGGAAACUGCCCGAUGGAGGGGGAUAACUACUGGAAACGGUAGCUAAUACCGCAUACCAUCGGAUGUGCCCAGAUGGGAUUAUCUAGUAGGUGGGGUAACGGCGAACCAGGGCGACGAUCCCUAGCUGGUCUUAGUGGAUGACCAGCCAAGCUGGGACUGAGACACGGUCCAGACUCGUACGGGAGGCAGCAGUGGGGAAUAUUGCACAGUGGGCGCAAGCCUGAUGCAGCCAGGCCGCGUGUAUGAAGAAGGCCUUCGGGGUGUAAAGUACUUUCAGCGAGGAGGCGUUACUCGCAGAAGAAGCACCGGCUAACUCCGUGCCAGCAGCCGCGGUAAUUC